GAGGGUAUAGCUUAGUGGUAGAGUGAGCUGCUUUGCAUGCACGAGGUCCUGGGUUCAAUCCUCAGUACCUCCA
RNAcentral lists this transfer RNA (73 nucleotides) under Camelus bactrianus (Bactrian camel). It matches the Rfam family "tRNA". Rfam says of the family: Transfer RNA (tRNA) molecules are approximately 80 nucleotides in length. RNAcentral also lists the same sequence under 1 other name. The record is from Rfam by way of RNAcentral. Lineage: Eukaryota; Metazoa; Chordata; Mammalia; Artiodactyla; Camelidae.